GAUGAACGCUGGCGGCGUGCCUAAUACAUGCAAGUCGAGCGAACGGACGAGAAGCUUGCUUCUCUGAUGUUAGCGGCGGACGGGUGAGUAACACGUGGAUAACCUACCUAUAAGACUGGGAUAACUUCGGGAAACCGGAGCUAACACCGGAUAAUAUUUUGAACCGCAUGGUUCAAAAGUGAAAGACGGUCUUGCUGUCACUUAUAGAUGGAUCCGCGCUGCAUUAGCUAGUUGGUAAGGUAACGGCUUACCAAGGCAACGAUGCAUAGCCGAGCUGAGCGGGUGAUCGGCCACACUGGAACUGAGACACGGUCCAGACUCCUACGGGAGGCAGCAGUAGGGAACCUUCCGCAAUGGGCGAAAGCCUGACGGAGCAACGCCGCGUGAGUGAUGAAGGUCUUCGGAUCGUAAAACUCUGUUAUUAGGGAAGAACAUAUGUGUAAGUAACUGUGCACAUCUUGACGGUACCUAAUCAGAAAGCCACGGCUAACUACGUG
This 497-nucleotide ribosomal RNA is filed under the name uncultured bacterium. RNAcentral's name for it is "partial 16S ribosomal RNA". It matches the Rfam family "Bacterial small subunit ribosomal RNA", at positions 28 to 507 of the family's 1533-position model. The record is from RNAcentral.